AAUUCUCAACCACAUAGAAAUGUGGCUUUGGAUGUUGGGGGUUUUAUUUGCUGGUCCUUUAGAAAUGAAGUUCAGCUCCCCUGAAAUGAAUUAGUGGUGGUAAAUCAAAGUCUUCUACCACAGGUGUGAUAAUUAUCUACGCCUUGGUGUAAAAAAGACACUGCUUCUAACUAAUAUAAUAAUAUUGACAA
RNAcentral lists this unclassified non-coding RNA (191 nucleotides) under uncultured Inocybe. RNAcentral's name for it is "sequence contains ITS2". The record is from RNAcentral. Lineage: Eukaryota; Fungi; Basidiomycota; Agaricomycetes; Agaricales; Cortinariaceae.